Molecule: ribosomal RNA, 81 nt
Filed under: Dehalococcoidia bacterium
Lineage: Bacteria; Bacillati; Chloroflexota; Dehalococcoidia
Source: RNAcentral
CCUGGUGGUUCUAGCGAAGCGGCCCCACCCGUUCCCAUCCCGAACACGGAAGUGAAACGCCUCAGCGCCUACGAUACUGCU